UACGGGGGGGGCAAGCGUUGUUCGGAAUUACUGGGCGUAAAGGGCGCGUAGGCGGCCUACUAAGUCGGACGUGAAAUCCCUCGGCUCAACCGAGGAACUGCGUCCGAUACUGGCAGGCUGGAAUCCGGGAGAUGGAUGUGGAAUUCCAGGUGUAGCGGUGAAAUGCGUAGAUAUCUGGAGGAACACCGGUGGCGAAGGCGGCAUCCUGGACCGGUAUUGACGCUGAGGCGCGAAAGCUAGGGGAGCAAACGGG
This 253-nucleotide ribosomal RNA is filed under the name uncultured bacterium. Its description in RNAcentral is "partial 16S ribosomal RNA". It matches the Rfam family "Bacterial small subunit ribosomal RNA", at positions 524 to 776 of the family's 1533-position model. The record is from RNAcentral.